UACGUAGGGUGCAAGCGUUAAUCGGAAUUACUGGGCGUAAAGCGUGCGCAGGCGGUUUUGUAAGCCAGAUGUGAAAAGCCCCGGGCGUCAACCUGGGAACGUGCGUUUGGUAACUACAAGACUAGAGUGUGUCAGAGGGGGGUGGGAAUUCCGCGUGUAGCAGUGAAAUGCGUAGAGAUGCGGAGGAACACCGAUGGCGAAGGCAGCCCCUCGGGAGUAACACUGACGCUCAUGCACGAAAGCGUGGGGA
This 250-nucleotide ribosomal RNA is filed under the name uncultured bacterium. Its description in RNAcentral is "partial 16S ribosomal RNA". It matches the Rfam family "Bacterial small subunit ribosomal RNA", at positions 524 to 767 of the family's 1533-position model. The record is from RNAcentral.